UUCAAUCUGAUGGAUCAGUCAGCAUCCACAAAAUAUUUCACCUUUGGAUUUCUGAUAAUUCCAAUCUAAUUAUUGCAAAUUUUGCGUGGUAGAACUUGAUAUAUCGUGUAUAUAGAACUUGAUAGCCAAAAAAGGAAAAUCUAAAAGGUUGGUUGAAAAGGACUCUUUGGCAGUCUCUACACUAUUUUGUCACCUAACCGACUUUUUAUUUGAUUACAGUCAGUUUAUUGCUUACAAAUUUUAUUUGUUUGUAAUGGCUGGAACAUAUAUUAUAGACAUGAAGAUGAAGUCAAAACAUCAACCCGAACAUGAUCAUCUAUGUGUAUGAUGAUUGAUGAAUUACCAAAAGGUCCAAAACUUAUGUGACAGUAGGGUACGUAUGCCCGUAUGAGUAAUCAAUAAUUUGUUUUCUGAGUAAUCAAGAAUUAGCAUAAUAUGUUUUUCUUCUUCUGCUUAUUCAAACAAAUACAAUACGAUGCAUAUGUAUAUAUAUUUGAAAUUAAUAGAUCAAUUGUUCGGUGUUAGAAAAAAGUGUAGAAUACUUAGGUUUUUUGGAUAUGCUUUCAACUCUCAAAACAAUUUUUAAAAAGAUUUGUAUUGUCUUAAGGAACUUACAGAAAUAACGACAAAAGAAAGAUCUAAGAAAGAAGAGCUUUCAAUCGACAAUAAGAAAAUAGAUUAAGAAUUUGGCUUCAACUGAAACAUUAAACAGGGGAGGCAUCAUGUCUUCUUAAAAUUAUAUGAAAACGUUAAAAAUGACACUAUUAGUGAAAAUGGAAGAGAUGAAAAAAUAUAAAAACGCCGAAGUAAGAGAUAGUGUGUGUAGGGACAAA
RNAcentral lists this long non-coding RNA (833 nucleotides) under Brassica rapa (field mustard). RNAcentral's name for it is "long non-coding RNA (BRAP_LNC000039)". The record is from RNAcentral. Lineage: Eukaryota; Viridiplantae; Streptophyta; Magnoliopsida; Brassicales; Brassicaceae.